This 199-nucleotide unclassified non-coding RNA is filed under the name uncultured fungus. Its description in RNAcentral is "sequence contains ITS1, 5.8S rRNA gene". Lineage: Eukaryota; Fungi. The record is from RNAcentral.
CCGAAUUGUCGACACGAGUUGUUGCUGGCCCUCAAACGGGGGCAUGUGCACGCUCUGUUUGCAUCCACUCACACCUGUGCACCUUCUGUAGUUCUGUGGGCUGGGAGGCACCUGUCUUCCCUUCCGUGGUUCUACGUCUUUACACACACACUGUAACAUAGUCUUAUGGAAUGCACGCAGCGUUUAACGCAAUACAAUA